RNAcentral lists this ribosomal RNA (515 nucleotides) under uncultured Russula. RNAcentral describes it as "eukaryotic LSU rRNA". The stretch from base 202 to 359 matches the Rfam family "5.8S ribosomal RNA". The record is from RNAcentral. Lineage: Eukaryota; Fungi; Basidiomycota; Agaricomycetes; Russulales; Russulaceae.
GGAGCAUUGUGCACACUUGUCAUUUUUAUAUCUCCACCUGUGCACAUUUUGUAGACCUGAAUAAUCCUUUCUGACUGCGCAAGUCAGGUUUGAGGAAUUGACUUUUUAGUCUUUCCUUGCAUUUUCAGGCCUAUGUUUCUUCAUAUACUCCUUAAUCUAUGUUAUAGAAUGUAACAGGCCCUGUGUGCCUAUAAUUUAUACAACUUUCAGCAACGGAUCUCUUGGCUCUCGCAUCAGUAUGAAGAACGCAGCGAAAUGCGAUAAGCUAAUGUGAAUUGCAGAAUUCACGUGAAUCAUCGAAUCUUUGAACGCACCUUGCGCUCCUUGGUAUUCCGAGGAGCAUGCCUGUUUGANUGUCAUUAAUAUAUCAACCUCUUCAGUCUUUUGCUUGUUGAGUGUUGGAUGUGGGGGUGUUUUGCUGGCCUUUUGAGGUCGGCUCCUCUGAAUAUGCAUUACCUAGAACAAUUUGUUGACUCCGUUCAUUGGUGUGAUAACUAUCUACGCUAGUUGACGGG